This 2093-nucleotide long non-coding RNA is filed under the name Triticum aestivum (bread wheat). Its description in RNAcentral is "long non-coding RNA (TAES_LNC016303)". Lineage: Eukaryota; Viridiplantae; Streptophyta; Magnoliopsida; Poales; Poaceae. The record is from RNAcentral.
ACGCGUCUUAUCCUUUCCUUUCUAGCACCAUCUCCAUCUCUCCAUCUAUCCUUCCUCUCAUAUCUCAUCAAUCGCCCAUCACAGAGCCUCAUAUGCGCUGCCGGACUAGUCGCCGUUGUAAGGGAGCAAGUAGGUGGCGGAGCAUCCAGGUUGCAAAUCUGUGCAGGGCGAGGCUCUGACGCGGAACCGCGGGCUCGCUCACCUCAACUCACUUUUCAGGCGAGGCACGACUCGUCGGCGUGCUUCUGCAGCAGCAGGAGCGGCGGCGCUGCUGCUCUGUUGCGGUCGGCGGCGACGUGCUUUGACGCAUGCAACAUGGUAGUUAUUUCUGCAAUGCAGCCGUUGUUUCAGGAAUUGUUGUUGCAACCCGGCCGUUGUUUCAGGAAUUGUUCCUCCAAUCUCCAAAUUUUUGCGACAUGGUAGUUGUUUCUGCAACAACCCAGCCGUUGUUUCAGGAAUUGUUCUUGCAAUCUCCAAAUUUUUACAACAUAGUAGUUAUUUCUGCAACACAGUCAUUGUUUCGGGAAUUGUUUUCUGCAACGCGAUCAUUGUUUCAGGAAUUGUUUCUGCAACACAACUGUUGUUUCUGCAACUGGUUUGUUGUUUCGGGAAUUAAUGUGUCGGGGAAGGCGACGCGCGUGCGCGAGGAGUUAGAUCGGACGACUCGCGCACGAAGAUCUGACGGCUGUCAAGGUGGUGGAUGUUUACUAAACAUCCACCGGCAGACGCGUAGCAGCUCCCUCAAAGAACUAGACAGAAUUCCCUUAAAAAAAAUAGGAUAUCUUCCUCUCUUCGACGUGGAACUCACGUGAAUGUUUUAUGCUUCCAAGUGCACUUAUAUUAUUCUACACUAGUUAACAACUUGCUCAUGACCCUCGCAAAAAAAAAAAAUUGCUCAUGAGACAAGAUCAUAUUCAAUUCAAUUGUAUUCAGAGGGGGGGCCUCGGGAACCUUCCUGGCAGGAGAGGUGUGCACACAGUUCUUGGUUUCUCCACUUUUUUUCUUUUGCAAGGGCUGGUUCCUUCACCUAUUGCACACGUGGAACAGAAAUGUUCUCGCCGGAAUCACAGGGUAGACGACCGGCGGCGGACGCUGGACGACUGGGCCUCUUUGAAUUACAGGGUUUACAUAGCAACUUCUGUGUUUCCCCCUUUUAUAUUACUCCCUCUGAUCAUAUUAAUUGCCUCUGAUUUAGUACAAAGUGGAUCAGAGGGAGUAUUAUUGUUUGCUUGAUUGGCAGAACUUUUUUUCAAAACCAUGCUAAAGAACUGUGUGAUUAAUAUAGAAGGUACUCCCUCCGUUUCAAAAUAGAUGACUCAAUUUUAUAUUAAAAUUAGUACAAAGCUGGAUCAUCUAUUUUGGAACGAAGGGAGUAAGAGAUAGCAACGACCUACCAAGAAAGAAAUUAAUGCUUGCCUCACCAGCCUCCUUCUCUAAGAAAAUACUAGGGUUCCUCAGCCUUCCGCCGGCGCCGGCGCUGGUCCGCCUCGUCUCUAAUGGUCUUAGAAUCAUGGCGGCCCGGUGGAUCCCGGCCCUUGCUAGCAGAAGGGCUUUGUUUUCAUAUGCUUUUUUGAAUUUUGUUAGGGUUUGUGUUCUACUUAGGAAGAUGAGACGACAACGUUUCCCUAAAGAUGAAAUAAGAUUCUCCCGGCUCCGCCCCCAUCCCGGUGGUCUAAGCAUCAUAGCCGGGCGUGUGGAGAUGUGUCUUCGGCGGAUCUAUCUUUGGUGGAUUGUUCGGUUUUGAUCGUACAUCAUCUACGUUCGUGUUUUUUCAGGUUGGAUCUUUUCGAUCUACGCUACUCUUCAUAGGCGGCGGGUGCUAUUUUGCUGCGCUUGUCCUAUGGGGCCUUAACACGACAACUUCCUGACUGUCUACUACACAAGUUUUGUCCGGCUCCGGCGAAUGAGAGGCAAUGACGGUGGCGCGCCUUCGGCUCGCUUCAGUGCUUGUAGUCGUCGCUAGAUGGUCUACGGAACUGGAUAUACUUUUAAUUUUUUAGAAUGUUCGCUGUACCGCCAUGAUCGAAAAUGAAUAGAUAGAAACUUUUCUUGAAAAAAAGUCUCGGCAAGAAAAACAAAAGGAACAAAAGAAG